This is a non-coding RNA of Neogale vison (American mink), 646 nucleotides long. NCBI's taxonomy places the organism in Eukaryota, Metazoa, Chordata, Mammalia, Carnivora, Mustelidae. The record is from the annotation of a RefSeq genome assembly.
UUCCCGAUGCGCCAUGGGCUCUAGGCUUCUCUGCUGUGUGGCGCUCUGUCUCCUGGGAGCAGGCCCAGUGGCAUCUGGGGUCACCCAAACUCCAACACACCUGAUCCAAACAAGAGGACGGAAAGUGACCCUGAGAUGUUCCCCUGUCUCUGGACAUCUAUCUGUGUACUGGUACCAACAGGUUCCGGGCCAGGGCCCCCGGUUUCUCAUUCAGUAUUACAACAUGGAAGAGAGAGACAAAGGAGACAUGCCAGAACGGUUCUCAGCUCGACAGUUCAGUAACUCCAGCUCCCAGCUGGUCCUGGACUUGCUGGAGUUGGAAGACUCAGCCCUGUAUCUCUGGGCCAGCAGUGAACACAGCCCUACGCGAUCAGCAGCCUACUGUACAAAAAUCCUCCCCACAACCCCCGGGGCAGGAAGUGAUGGGUCGCUGAAUGCUGGCAUCACUCAGACCCCCAAAUUCCAGGUCCUGGGGACAGGACAGAACAUGACACUGAAAUGUCACCAGGAUAUGAACCACAACUCCAUGUACUGGUAUCGACAAGACCAUGGACAUGGGCUGAGGCUGAUCCAUUACUCAGUCCCUGUGAGUGGCCGGCCACUUCUGGGCACACCUAUUUCCCAGAUGAACGGUGGACACAAUUAA